Molecule: ribosomal RNA, 473 nt
Filed under: uncultured bacterium
Lineage: Bacteria
Description: SSU rRNA
Rfam family: Bacterial small subunit ribosomal RNA
Source: RNAcentral
AGGACGAACGCUGGCGGCGUGCUUAACACAUGCAAGUCGAGCGGAAAGGCCCUUCGGGGUACUCGAGCGGCGAACGGGUGAGUAACACGUGAGUAAUCUGCCCCUAGCUCUGGGAUAGCUCCGGGAAACCGGGAUUAAUACCGGAUAUGACCACUUUAGACAUCUGCUGUGGUGGAAAGAAUUUCGGCUAGGGAUGAGCUCGCGGCCUAUCAGGCUUGUUGGUGGGGUAACGGCCUACCAAGGCGACGACGGGUAGCCGGCCUGAGAGGGCGACCGGCCACACUGGGACUGAGACACGGCCCAGACUCCUACGGGAGGCAGCAGUGGGGAAUAUUGCGCAAUGGGCGAAAGCCUGACGCAGCGACGCCGCGUGGGGGAUGAAGGCCUUCGGGUUGUAACCCUUUCAGCAGGACGAAGCGAAAGUGACGGUACCUGCAGAAGAAGCGCCGGCGUAACUACGCGCCAGCAGCCGC